This 468-nucleotide ribosomal RNA is filed under the name uncultured bacterium. Its description in RNAcentral is "partial 16S ribosomal RNA". It matches the Rfam family "Bacterial small subunit ribosomal RNA", at positions 28 to 507 of the family's 1533-position model. The record is from RNAcentral.
GACGAACGCUGGCGGCGUGCUUAACACAUGCAAGUCGAACGGAAAGGCCCUGCUUUUGUGGGGUGCUCGAGUGGCGAAAGUGUGAGUAACACGUGAGUAACCUGCCCUUGACUUUGGGAUAACUUCAGGAAACUGGGGCUAAUACCGGAUAGGAGCUCCUGCUGCAUGGUGGGGGUUGGAAAGUUUCGGCGGUUGGGGAUGGACUCGCGGCUUAUCAGCUUGUUGGUGGGGUAGUGGCUUACCAAGGCUUUGACGGGUAGCCGGCCUGAGAGGGUGACCGGCCACAUUGGGACUGAGAUACGGCCCAGACUCCUACGGGAGGCAGCAGUGGGGAAUAUUGCACAAUGGGCGGAAGCCUGAUGCAGCAACGCCGCGUGCGGGAUGACGGCCUUCGGGUUGUAAACCGCUUUCGCCUGUGACGAAGCGUGAGUGACGGUAAUGGGUGAAGAAGCGCCGGCUAACUACGUG